Molecule: long non-coding RNA, 1469 nt
Filed under: Ovis aries (sheep)
Lineage: Eukaryota; Metazoa; Chordata; Mammalia; Artiodactyla; Bovidae
Description: lncRNA (ENSOARG00000025343.1)
Source: RNAcentral
CCUUCUGACUCUCUGAUAGGGUGUGGUCUUUCCAAGAGAGCAUCCUCCAGGGAACUGGAAAGGAGGAAACCCAGGCCUCACAUCUCCUGAAGCAGAGUCUGCGUUUCAGCAGAAUCCCCAGAAGUUGCGCUGCAUGGUAAAGUUGGCAAAGGCCUGGCCUAACGCCUGGGGUGGUCUGGCUUAAAGUGAUGUGCUGGCAUCACAAAUGUAAGAAGAAAUAAGGUCCGCAGAGCCAAAAUCUGUGGUGCCACAGAGGCAGAAUUUGGUGGUCAUGGUGGCCAACUAACUGUUUCGUGCAUUUGGGUCCUGCCAGCAGGUUGAGAAGAGGGCGACAGACGCCGAGAUGGUUGGAUGGCAUCAUCGAAGCAGUGGACAUGAGUUUGAGCAAGCUCCAGGAGAUAGGGAAGGACACUGCGGCGUCACAGAGUCGGACACGGCUGAGCCACAACAACAACAACAACAAGCAAGUUGAUUCAGAAGACAGAUGAGAAAUGUGUCCCCGGGGCAGCAAGGCUGAACACCACGACUCAGAGAUCCUUUGUUAAAAGGGAAAAUGAGAUCAGCGGUAAUUACCACACCUGCUGGCACUCUUCAGAGAGGAGAGACUCCCUUGGACAAGAGAGGCAGGCUGCCAAAGCCCACUGAACGUGCUUCUGAUAUUCAGGAAGAUUUGCCAGAAGUUAAUCUUCUCAAGAGGAAAUCAAGAAUGGCUCCCUGCAGGUAAUUCAGUGUGUGGAGCAGAAGUGAAAAGAUGAGUUGAAAUGAAGCACAAAAUAAGAAACCGUGGAUUCCUGAAAACCAAGCCUCAGGAGAGGGAAACCCAGCCCCAGCGACCUGCAGAAGUACGUGGCUUUGACUUCCGUCCUGUUGAGUGGCGCGGGUCCGUCGGAAGCUGCAAGGACACCCCUGAGGUAUUCUGGCUCCGACAGGGUCUUCCUCCCCUCAGCUCUCCGGAAAAUUUCAUAUUCUGGGCACCUCCUCUUUGGACAAGGGCGUCUUGUGUCUUCCAGUCCAGCUGGAGAGCCUGGCAGGCAAACAGCACAGGCCAUUCAGUCCCAGAGCGGCUUUACGUACGCGCGGCCGAAGCCAAGGCCGAAGCGUGUUCGUUGUCCCGGACGUGCUGGUUCACAGGCAGCCUGGUGAGUUCAGACGCGACGACUGGGUACACGAAAGGUGGGAUGGGGACACGUGUUUCCCAUCAGUACAUCCGCCCCUGCUCACACCGCUACCUCUCCAUUCCACCAUCCAGAUGGAUGUUGCCUGGGAUGAUCUGUCUUUCGUCCAGCUGGAGCUCUCCCAGCGGGCCAGCGGUGGCGUCACCCACGCGGGUGGUCCCGCUGGGUCUCAGCUGGGGCUGGGGCCACUGCCAGUCUCAAAACAGACCCUCUGCGCCAACUCCCAGGCUCCCCAGGCGGCCUCCACGGACUGGCACACCCCCGCGCCCCUCCAAUUGCAGAAGAAACUCCUAA